Molecule: ribosomal RNA, 117 nt
Filed under: Deltaproteobacteria bacterium
Lineage: Bacteria; Pseudomonadati; Myxococcota; Myxococcia
Source: RNAcentral
UCCGGUGUUUAUAGCGGCGAAGUCACACCCGAUCCCAUCCCGAACUCGGAAGUUAAGCUCGCCAGCGCCGAUGGUACUGCACGGGAGACCGUGUGGGAGAGUAGGACGACGCCGGAU